RNAcentral lists this ribosomal RNA (301 nucleotides) under uncultured bacterium. RNAcentral describes it as "partial 16S ribosomal RNA". It matches the Rfam family "Bacterial small subunit ribosomal RNA", at positions 509 to 807 of the family's 1533-position model. The record is from RNAcentral.
CAGUCGCCGCUGUAACACGUAGGGUGCGAGCGUUAAUCGGAAUUACUGGGCGUAAAGCGUGCGCAGGCGGUUCGUUAAGACAGAUGUGAAAUCCCCGGGCUUAACCUGGGAACUGCAUUUGUGACUGGCGAGCUAGAGUAUGGCAGAGGGGGGUAGAAUUCCACGUGUAGCAGUGAAAUGCGUAGAGAUCUGGAGGAAUACCGGUGGCGAAGGCGGCCCUCUGGACAAAGACUGACGCUCAGGUGCGAAAGCGUGGGGAGCAAACAGGAUUUGAUACCCGGGUAGUCCCUGUCUCUUAUAC